GGCCAUUCAGGGUCACACCUGGAGAGUUUCCAAUACUCUACCAGUCUCGACUAUGGGAGGAAGAGUCAAGCAGAGGGCUACCCAUUCCAUUCCUAGCUUGAGCGGUGGCUAGUGAGUGGAAGACAAUCUGCUACCAGC
Molecule: small nucleolar RNA, 138 nt
Organism: Tachyglossus aculeatus (Australian echidna)
Lineage: Eukaryota; Metazoa; Chordata; Mammalia; Monotremata; Tachyglossidae
Source: RefSeq, a predicted model, not a curated record